CAGUUGGAAAUAAGCUUAUAACGGUCGAAGCUCGGCGGUCUAAAGGCACUUGUAGAAAAGAGAAAGAAAGAGGAUAUUUCGCGCAACAAUUCAAUCCUUAAAAAUGAAUUUUAGGCACGGCAAGGAAUACAACAAAUAUAAUAAAGGAAGCCAUGAUUGGUCAAAAUAUCGAAAAUCAUUUAAAGAAAUAAAAGAAAC
Molecule: long non-coding RNA, 198 nt
Organism: Mycetomoellerius zeteki
Lineage: Eukaryota; Metazoa; Arthropoda; Insecta; Hymenoptera; Formicidae
Exons: 3
Source: RefSeq, a predicted model, not a curated record